RNAcentral lists this ribosomal RNA (303 nucleotides) under uncultured bacterium. Its description in RNAcentral is "partial 16S ribosomal RNA". It matches the Rfam family "Bacterial small subunit ribosomal RNA", at positions 507 to 808 of the family's 1533-position model. The record is from RNAcentral.
AGCAGCCGCCGCGGUAAUACAGAGGGUGCAAGCGUUAAUCGGAAUUACUGGGCGUAAAGCGCGCGUAGGUGGUUUGUUAAGUUGGAUGUGAAAGCCCCGGGCUCAACCUGGGAACUGCAUCCAAAACUGGCAAGCUAGAGUACGGUAGAGGGUGGUGGAAUUUCCUGUGUAGCGGUGAAAUGCGUAGAUAUAGGAAGGAACACCAGUGGCGAAGGCGACCACCUGGACUGAUACUGACACUGAGGUGCGAAAGCGUGGGGAGCAAACAGGAUUAGAUACCCAGUAGUCCCUGUCUCUUAUACA